RNAcentral lists this ribosomal RNA (606 nucleotides) under Triticum aestivum (bread wheat). RNAcentral's name for it is "partial small subunit ribosomal RNA". The record is from RNAcentral. Lineage: Eukaryota; Viridiplantae; Streptophyta; Magnoliopsida; Poales; Poaceae.
AUGGAUUGGAACCCAAAAGUGCUUUGCUGGAACGUGAGGGGGCUUAACAACCCCGCUAAGAGGAAUGCAGUUAGGGAGUUUGUGGUAGCGGCCAAGGUCCAUCUUGUAUGUCUCCAAGAGACAAAACUUGAUGCUUUUGAUCCCUACUUGGUAAUGCAAUCCAUAGGGCCAUCGUUUGAUGGCUUUGCCUACUUACCUGCUUUAGAAACUAGGGGUGGCAUUCUCUUGGGCUGGGAUAGCUCUUAUUUGGUGAUCUCCAACAUCACUGGGUAUACUAACUUUCUCUCGGGCUUGGUCCGGAAUAAAGAUGGCUCGGAAUGGUGGUUGUCGGUGGUGUACGGACCCCAAGGGGAUGAACUGACGACUCAAUUUCUAGUGGAACUUCAGCAUAGAAGGGACAUGUCCCCGGGCCCAUGGAUGGCGCUAGGAGACUUUAACUUGAACAUUAGAGCUGAGCAGAAGAGCAACUCGAACCUCAACAGGGGCAUGAGGAGGAUGUUUAAGGCGUUCGUGGACGACAAUGAGCUCAAGGAGAUCUACAUGCACGGUAGACGUUUCACUUGGUCCAAUGAAAGGGAGCAGGUGGUUAUGACCAAGAUCGAUUGA